GGGUUGUGAGGUUAAGCGACUAAGCGUACACGGUGGAUGCCCUGGCAGUCAGAGGCGAUGAAGGACGUGCUAAUCUGCGAUAAGCGUCGGUAAGGUGAUAUGAACCGUUAUAACCGGCGAUUUCCGAAUGGGGAAACCCAGUGUGAUUCGUCACACUAUCAUUAACUGAAUCCAUAGGUUAAUGAGGCGAACCGGGGGAACUGAAACAUCUAAGUACCCCGAGGAAAAGAAAUCAACCGAGAUUCCCCCAGUAGCGGCGAGCGAACGGGGAGCAGCCCAGAGCCUGAAUCAGUGUGUGUGUUAGUGGAAGCGUCUGGAAAGGCGCGCGAUACAGGGUGACAGCCCCGUACACAAAAAUGCACAUGCUGUGAGCUCGAUGAGUAGGGCGGGACACGUGGUAUCCUGUCUGAAUAUGGGGGGACCAUCCUCCAAGGCUAAAUACUCCUGACUGACCGAUAGUGAACCAGUACCGUGAGGGAAAGGCGAAAAGAACCCCGGCGAGGGGAGUGAAAAAGAACCUGAAACCGUGUACGUACAAGCAGUGGGAGCACGCUUAGGCGUGUGACUGCGUACCUUUUGUAUAAUGGGUCAGCGACUUAUAUUCUGUAGCAAGGUUAACCGAAUAGGGGAGCCGAAGGGAAACCGAGUCUUAACUGGGCGUUAAGUUGCAGGGUAUAGACCCGAAACCCGGUGAUCUAGCCAUGGGCAGGUUGAAGGUUGGGUAACACUAACUGGAGGACCGAACCGACUAAUGUUGAAAAAUUAGCGGAUGACUUGUGGCUGGGGGUGAAAGGCCAAUCAAACCGGGAGAUAGCUGGUUCUCCCCGAAAGCUAUUUAGGUAGCGCCUCGUGAAUUCAUCUCCGGGGGUAGAGCACUGUUUCGGCAAGGGGGUCAUCCCGACUUACCAACCCGAUGCAAACUGCGAAUACCGGAGAAUGUUAUCACGGGAGACACACGGCGGGUGCUAACGUCCGUCGUGAAGAGGGAAACAACCCAGACCGCCAGCUAAGGUCCCAAAGUCAUGGUUAAGUGGGAAACGAUGUGGGAAGGCCCAGACAGCCAGGAUGUUGGCUUAGAAGCAGCCAUCAUUUAAAGAAAGCGUAAUAGCUCACUGGUCGAGUCGGCCUGCGCGGAAGAUGUAACGGGGCUAAACCAUGCACCGAAGCUGCGGCAGCGACGCUUAUGCGUUGUUGGGUAGGGGAGCGUUCUGUAAGCCUGCGAAGGUGUGCUGUGAGGCAUGCUGGAGGUAUCAGAAGUGCGAAUGCUGACAUAAGUAACGAUAAAGCGGGUGAAAAGCCCGCUCGCCGGAAGACCAAGGGUUCCUGUCCAACGUUAAUCGGGGCAGGGUGAGUCGACCCCUAAGGCGAGGCCGAAAGGCGUAGUCGAUGGGAAACAGGUUAAUAUUCCUGUACUUGGUGUUACUGCGAAGGGGGGACGGAGAAGGCUAUGUUGGCCGGGCGACGGUUGUCCCGGUUUAAGCGUGUAGGCUGGUUUUCCAGGCAAAUCCGGAAAAUCAAGGCUGAGGCGUGAUGACGAGGCACUACGGUGCUGAAGCAACAAAUGCCCUGCUUCCAGGAAAAGCCUCUAAGCAUCAGGUAACAUCAAAUCGUACCCCAAACCGACACAGGUGGUCAGGUAGAGAAUACCAAGGCGCUUGAGAGAACUCGGGUGAAGGAACUAGGCAAAAUGGUGCCGUAACUUCGGGAGAAGGCACGCUGAUAUGUAGGUGAAGUCCCUCGCGGAUGGAGCUGAAAUCAGUCGAAGAUACCAGCUGGCUGCAACUGUUUAUUAAAAACACAGCACUGUGCAAACACGAAAGUGGACGUAUACGGUGUGACGCCUGCCCGGUGCCGGAAGGUUAAUUGAUGGGGUCAGCGCAAGCGAAGCUCUUGAUCGAAGCCCCGGUAAACGGCGGCCGUAACUAUAACGGUCCUAAGGUAGCGAAAUUCCUUGUCGGGUAAGUUCCGACCUGCACGAAUGGCGUAAUGAUGGCCAGGCUGUCUCCACCCGAGACUCAGUGAAAUUGAACUCGCUGUGAAGAUGCAGUGUACCCGCGGCAAGACGGAAAGACCCCGUGAACCUUUACUAUAGCUUGACACUGAACAUUGAGCCUUGAUGUGUAGGAUAGGUGGGAGGCUUUGAAGUGUGGACGCCAGUCUGCAUGGAGCCGGCCUUGAAAUACCACCCUUUAAUGUUUGAUGUUCUAACGUUGACCCGUAAUCCGGGUUGCGGACAGUGUCUGGUGGGUAGUUUGACUGGGGCGGUCUCCUCCUAAAGAGUAACGGAGGAGCACGAAGGUUGGCUAAUCCUGGUCGGACAUCAGGAGGUUAGUGCAAUGGCAUAAGCCAGCUUGACUGCGAGCGUGACGGCGCGAGCAGGUGCGAAAGCAGGUCAUAGUGAUCCGGUGGUUCUGAAUGGAAGGGCCAUCGCUCAACGGAUAAAAGGUACUCCGGGGAUAACAGGCUGAUACCGCCCAAGAGUUCAUAUCGACGGCGGUGUUUGGCACCUCGAUGUCGGCUCAUCACAUCCUGGGGCUGAAGUAGGUCCCAAGGGUAUGGCUGUUCGCCAUUUAAAGUGGUACGCGAGCUGGGUUUAGAACGUCGUGAGACAGUUCGGUCCCUAUCUGCCGUGGGCGCUGGAGAACUGAGGGGGGCUGCUCCUAGUACGAGAGGACCGGAGUGGACGCAUCACUGGUGUUCGGGUUGUCAUGCCAAUGGCACUGCCCGGUAGCUAAAUGCGGAAGAGAUAAGUGCUGAAAGCAUCUAAGCACGAAACUUGCCCCGAGAUGAGUUCUCCCUGACUCCUUGAGAGUCCUGAAGGAACGUUGAAGACGACGACGUUGAUAGGCCGGGUGUGUAAGCGCAGCGAUGCGUUGAGCUAACCGGUACUAAUGAACCGUGAGGCUUAACCUUACAACGCCGAAGCUGUU
This 2930-nucleotide ribosomal RNA is filed under the name Escherichia coli. RNAcentral's name for it is "23S ribosomal RNA". It matches the Rfam family "Bacterial large subunit ribosomal RNA". The record is from RNAcentral. Lineage: Bacteria; Pseudomonadati; Pseudomonadota; Gammaproteobacteria; Enterobacterales; Enterobacteriaceae.